GAUGAACGCUGGCGGCGUGCCUAAUACAUGCAAGUCGAGCGAACAGACGAGGAGCUUGCUCCUCUGACGUUAGCGGCGGACGGGUGAGUAACACGUGGAUAACCUACCUAUAAGACUGGGAUAACUUCGGGAAACCGGAGCUAAUACCGGAUAUUAUAUUGAACCGCAUGGUUCAAUAGUGAAAGACGGUUUUGCUGUCACUUAUAGAUGGAUCCGCGCCGCAUUAGCUAGUUGGUAAGGUAACGGCUUACCAAGGCAACGAUGCGUAGCCGACCUGAGAGGGGGAUCGGCCACACGGGACCUGAGACACGGUCCAGACUCCUACGGGAGGCAGCAGUAGGGAAUCUUCCGCAAUGGGCGAAAGCCUGACGGAGCAACGCCGCGUGAGUGAUGAAGGUCUUCGGAUCGUAAAACUCUGUUAUUAGGGAAGAACAAAUGUGUAAGUAACUAUGCACGUCUUAACGGUACCUAAUCAGAAAGCCACGGCUAACUACGUG
RNAcentral lists this ribosomal RNA (497 nucleotides) under uncultured bacterium. RNAcentral's name for it is "partial 16S ribosomal RNA". It matches the Rfam family "Bacterial small subunit ribosomal RNA", at positions 28 to 507 of the family's 1533-position model. The record is from RNAcentral.